RNAcentral lists this ribosomal RNA (485 nucleotides) under uncultured fungus. Its description in RNAcentral is "eukaryotic LSU rRNA". The stretch from base 161 to 312 matches the Rfam family "5.8S ribosomal RNA". The record is from RNAcentral. Lineage: Eukaryota; Fungi.
AAGUCGUAACGAGGUCUCCGUAGGUGAACCUGCGGAGGGACCAUUAUCGAACGGCCUUUGGGCCUCGACCCUCCAUGCCCGUGGAUGCAAAGGGUGCUUCGGCGCGUCGUACGCCGCCCUUAAUGCUGUGGAAUUGUGUCUGAAUCAUAUUACCUAUGAAAACUUUCAACAAAGGAUCUCUUGGCUCUUGCAUCGAUGAAGAACGCAGCGAAGCGCGAAAUGUAGUGUGAAUCGCAGAACACCGUGAAUCAUUGAAUCUUUGAACGCACAUUGCGCCCCUCGUAGCUGGGGGGCAUGCCUGUCUGAGCGUCGUUUGAACCCAAUGCCCGCCCUCUGGGUGCGGCGUGCUGGGCUUCGCCCUCGGGCGUCGCCUCGAAGCCAUGGGCCGAGGUUGGCGGAUGAGAUCCGAUAGGACCGACCGCCCGACCCGCCCCGAUGCCCUUGAAUCAGACCUCAGAUCAGGUAGGACUACCGCCUGAACUUAA